GGGUUAAGUCCGUAACGAGCGCAACCCUUGUCCUUAGUUACCAGCACGUUAUGUGGGCACUCUAAGGAGACUGCCGGUGACAAACCGGAGGAAGGUGGGGAGUGACGUCAAGUCAUCAUGGCCCUUACGGCCUGGGCUACACACGUGCUACAAUGGUCGGUACAAAGGGUUGCCAAGCCGCGAGGUGGAGCUAAUCCCAUAAAACCGAUCGUAGUCCGGAUCGCAGUCUGCAACUCGACUGCGUGAAGUCGGAAUCGCUAGUAAUCGUGAAUCAGAAUGUCACGGUGAAUACGUUCCCGGGCCUU
RNAcentral lists this ribosomal RNA (305 nucleotides) under uncultured Pseudomonas sp. Its description in RNAcentral is "bacterial SSU rRNA". It matches the Rfam family "Bacterial small subunit ribosomal RNA", at positions 1077 to 1382 of the family's 1533-position model. The record is from RNAcentral. Lineage: Bacteria; Pseudomonadati; Pseudomonadota; Gammaproteobacteria; Pseudomonadales; Pseudomonadaceae.